Molecule: long non-coding RNA, 1128 nt
Organism: Amphibalanus amphitrite
Lineage: Eukaryota; Metazoa; Arthropoda; Thecostraca; Balanomorpha; Balanidae
Exons: 2
Source: RefSeq, a predicted model, not a curated record
UCUCCCACACAGGAGACGGUGGCCGCGCGCUGGGGAUGCCCUCCUCGCCCCACCCGGCCAGGAUCGUACCGCUGUUCAAACCGCGCCCGGUCGCAGGUGCUCGGGUAUCACUUCAGGGGAAGGCCUCAGGAGCGGCGCGGCAGACGGGAGCGUCAAAGACGACCCCGGCGCGGCCCACACCGCGCGCCGCGGCGGGGACAGCAGGGACAGGCCGGGGGAAGAAGCAGCGCCCGGCGGGGAAGGCGGCCGCGGACGGCCGGGGCCGAACUCCAGCCGCCGGACGGACGGCCGGACCGCCGGCGACUCCGGCGGCGGCCAAACGGCGCCGGCAGUGAAGCGACGGGACUGGAAGACAGGGGACGGUAGAACACUAGGUUAUCGGCGGCAGACAGGACGUUCCUUCAGCGUGUCACCGCGGCACAAAUACACCAGAAUUACUUCAGUUGACCGUGUUCAUCAGCGCAGCAUCGCCUUCUUCUUGCCCAGUAAGGUGCAGCUCAUCAGUCAGGUACCGUCAGGGGUGAUGUGACGGGACCGGCCGCGCCGCCCCCUCCCCCCGGGUACGUAUGAGGUACCGCAGUACGGUACCCCAGGGAACUGAGUACCCACGGCCGCAUGGCGACCGGUGCGGAUAGUCGGAGAUUGGUGCUUGGACGAGAGAGGCGGGAAAGUGAUUGCCAAUUGUGUUGAGAGCUUGGGAGGGCGGGCGUCAAUCUGAAGUCUCCCGUUUCGGUUGAGUUUUACGUGCGAAAACGCUUUAGUUAUUUAAAACUUGUGAAGUCGGGCUGGCCAGCCAGUGAUCUAAUUUGAAAACGUCGGGAAUCGGCUGACAGUUUGCUUUGGCGUUACCGACCAAGACGAAGGAAAUGUUACGAAUCUGUCGUUUGUGCUCAUCAGUACCAACUGCGAAGCUAAUUGGAAGUGAUAUGUCUACUUCUAGAGCCUGUCUAGAACCCUUAACUCAAUCAAGUGUAAUUACCAGUGUAAUUCAAGACAUUAGCAGUGUAUUGUGUGUUGAAUAUAGGCACUUUUUCAUCUCAGUGUAGUAGGAACGCUCAGUUUUUCAUUGUCAUCAUGUACUUUCAAUCGUUUUAACGCUGAAUUUCAAUACAGGACCUCGUUUACCAA